This 735-nucleotide long non-coding RNA is filed under the name Homo sapiens (human). Its description in RNAcentral is "non-protein coding lnc-ANO6-3:1". The record is from RNAcentral. Lineage: Eukaryota; Metazoa; Chordata; Mammalia; Primates; Hominidae.
AUGCCGACCCACACAGCUGUGUGGAAUGGGGACCCAGGCCAACAAGGGCAUCAACUUUGCCAAGGAAGGUGGUGCUCAGGAACCGGGAUGUGGCGUGGGGCUGGGCAGCUGAGUAGCAACUGCAGGCCAGGGGCCUCAGCCUGCACUUGCACAGCUGGACACCCACCACAGCCAACCAUCCUUGUCCUGCACGACUGCCUCCACCAGGACUGCCAGGGCUCCCCAUGCUGGUCAGCAAUGAGGGCAUCAUCUGCAAUUUUGAUCCCACACCCUUGUGUAUUCAUAAGCAGCGGUGUCAAUGAAAACAAAUCAGAGAUGUCCGCACGGAGAUACUGCCCCCAAUAAAACCCCAAGGCAGAGAGGUGGAUGUGUCCACUAUGAAGAGUCUAAAAGCUCCUAAAGACUGCAGCCCAGAACUGCAGCAGCAGGUUCCAAGUAAGACUGUCAUGGAGGAAAACAAGUUUGUGGAAGAUACAGAGAAUGGAACACACGGAAGGAGGGCUGGCCCAAUACAGCACAUGGAGGGAGGCAAAUUGGCAUCAUUGUCCGGAGAGUACACCAGGAAGUGAGUCAAGGAAAGGUGACAAGAUCCUCCUGAAUGCACACUGCCCAGGGGGGUGAGAACAAACUUGAGGGGUGCCCAAGGCCACCAAAGAAGCAGAGACACCCAAGUAUUUGGCCCAUUUGCUCCCAGAUAUUGAGGGGGCCCUACAGACACUUUGGGAAGAAAAAGUA